This 753-nucleotide ribosomal RNA is filed under the name uncultured Antarctic cyanobacterium. RNAcentral describes it as "bacterial SSU rRNA". It matches the Rfam family "Bacterial small subunit ribosomal RNA", at positions 9 to 805 of the family's 1533-position model. The record is from RNAcentral. Lineage: Bacteria; Bacillati; Cyanobacteriota.
AAGUUUGUUCCUGGCUCAGGAUGAACGCUGGCGGUCUGCUUAACACAUGCAAGUCGAACGGAGUACUUCGGUACUUAGUGGCGGACGGGUGAGUAACGCGUGAGGAUCUGCCCUCAGGAGGGGGACAACGACUGGAAACGGUCGCUAAUACCCCAUAUGCCGAGAGGUGAAAUGUUUUUUCGCCUGAGGAUGAGCUCGCGUCAGAUUAGCUAGUUGGUGGGGUAACGGCCUACCAAGGCGACGAUCUGUAGCUGGUCUGAGAGGAUGAUCAGCCACACUGGGACUGAGACACGGCCCAGACUCCUACGGGAGGCAGCAGUGGGGAAUUUUCCGCAAUGGGCGAAAGCCUGACGGAGCAAGACCGCGUGAGGGAUGACGGCCUAAUGGGUUGUAAACCUCUUUUCUCUGGGAAGAUAAUGACGGUACCAGAGGAAUAAGCCUCGGCUAACUCCGUGCCAGCAGCCGCGGUAAUACGGAGGAGGCAAGCGUUAUCCGGAAUUAUUGGGCGUAAAGCGUCCGUAGGUGGUUAAUCAAGUCAGCUGUUAAAGAGCGGAGCUCAACUCCGUUAGAGCGGUUGAAACUGAUUGACUAGAGUUUGGUAGGGGUCGAGGGAAUUCCCAGUGUAGCGGUGAAAUGCGUAGAUAUUGGGAAGAACACCGGUGGCGAAAGCGCUCGACUGGGCCUGAACUGACACUGAGGGACGAGAGCUAGGGGAGCGAAAGGGAUUAGAUACCCCUGUAGUCCUAGCCGUAA